RNAcentral lists this long non-coding RNA (3452 nucleotides) under Solanum tuberosum (potato). Its description in RNAcentral is "long non-coding RNA (STUB_LNC007193)". Lineage: Eukaryota; Viridiplantae; Streptophyta; Magnoliopsida; Solanales; Solanaceae. The record is from RNAcentral.
UUAAAAUAUCGAUACGAAUAAAAUAUCAAAAAUUCAUAUUUUUCGUCACUUCCGAAAAAUAUCAACAUUUUUAAUUCGAAAACGUUCAAAAAAAUAUAAUAAUCAAGAAAAAGAAAUAAAAAUACCUCAAAAAAAUCCUGAAUCGCAUUAGUCACCUUAUAAUAUCGUUACGAAGAAAUAUCAAAUUUUCUGAUUUUCUUGUAACUUCCGAAAAACAUUAAAUUUUCUAAUUUGAAAACAUUUGAAAAUAUAAAAAUCAAGAAAAAAUACAUAAAACCACCUCAAAAAAUCCCGAAUCGCACAUGUUAUGUCACCUUAAAAUAUCGAUACGAAUAAAAUAUCAAAAAUUCAUAUUUUCUCGUCACUUCCGAAAAAUAUCAACAUUUUUAAUUCGAAAACGUUUAAAAAAAUAUAAUAAUCAAGAAAAAGAAAUAAAAAUACCUCAAAAAAAUCCUGAAUCGCAUUAGUCACCUAAUAAUAUCGUUACGAAGAAAUAUCAAAUUUUCUAAUUUGUUUGUAACUUCCGAAAAACAUUAAAUUUUCUAAUUUGAAAACAUUUGAAAAUAUAAAAAUCAAGAAAAAAUACAUAAAACCACCUCAAAAAAUCCCGAAUAGCACUUGUCACCUUAGAAUAUCGAUACGAAUAAAAUAUCAAAAAUUCAAAUUUUCUCGUUAUUGCUAAAAAAUAUCAAAAAUUUUAAUUCGUAAACGUCCGAAAAAUAUAAAAAUCAAGCAAAAGACAUACAAACACCUCAAAAAAUCCUGUAUCGCACAUGUCACUUUAGAAUAUCGAUACGAAUAUAAUAUCAAGCACCAGUCACCUUAGAAUAUCGAUACGCAUAAAAUAUUAAAACUUUACACUUUUUCGUAAAUCGACCGAAAAAUAUGAAAAUAUUUAAUUCGUAAACGUCCGAACAAUAUAAAAAUCAAGUAAAAAACAUAAAGACACCUCGAAAAAUUCCUGAAUCACACCUGUUACUUUAGAUUAUCAAUAGAAAUAGAAUAUCAAAAUUUCAACUAUUUUCGAGACUUCCCAAAAAAUAUCAAAAAUUAUAAUACGUAAAAAUCCGAAAAAUAUAUAUAAAAAAAAAAGAAAUAAAAAAAAACACCUCAAAAAAACAAUGAAUCACACAUGUCACCUUAGAAUAUCGAUACAAAUAAAAUAUCAAAAAUUCACAUUUUCUAGGGACUGCCGAAAAAUAUAAAAUAUUUUAAUUCGUAAACGUUAGAAAAAUAUAAAAAACAAGAAAAAGACAUAAAAACACCUAAAAAAUUCUUGAAUCGCACCAGUCAACUUAGUAUAUCGAUACGAAUAGAAUAUAAAAGUCUAUAUUUUUCUGACUGCCGAAAAAAUAUCAAUAAUUUUAAUUCGUAUAUGUCCGAAAAGUAUUAAAACAAAGAAUAAGACAUAAAAACACCUCAAAAAAUUCCUGAAUGCACCUGUCACCUUAGAAUAUUGAUAUGAAUAUAUCGAUACCAAUAAAAUAUCAAAAUUUCACAUUUUUUCAUGACUGCCCGUAAAAUAUAAAAAAAAAAUUUCUUAAACUUCUGAAAAAUAUAAAAAACAAUAAAAAGAUAUAAAGACAGCUCAAAAAAAUUCUGAAUUGCACCUGUCACCUUAGAAUAUCAAUACAAAUAAAAUAUCAAAAAUUAACAUUUUCUCGGGACUGCCUAAAAAUAUAAAAAAAAUUAAUUCUUAAACGUCCAAAAAUAUUAUAUUCAAGAAAAAGACAUAUAAACACCUCAAAAAAUUCCUGAAUCACACCAGUCACCUUAGAAUAUCGAUACGAAUAAAAUCACAAUUUUUCAUGAUUGCCCAAAAUAUAUCAAUAUUUUUAAUUUGUAAAUGUCCGAAUAAUAUAGAAAUCAAGAGAAGAGAUAAAACACAUCUAAAAAUUCUCGAAUCGCACCUGUCACAUUAUAAUAUCGAUACAAAUAAAAUAUAAAAAAUUCAAUUUUUUUAGUUGACUUCCGAAAAAUAUCUAAAAAUUUAGUUCGUAAACGUCCGAAAAAUAUAAGAAUCAAGAAAAAGAGAUAAAAACACCUCAAAAAAUUCACGAAUCGCACUAGUUACCUUAGAAUAUCGAUAAGAAUAAAAUCACAUUUUUCGUGACAGCCUGACAAAUAUAAAAACAUUUAAUUCGUAAACGUCCGAAAAAUAUAAAAAUCAAGCAAAAGACAUACAAACACCUCAAAAAAUCCUGUAUCGCACAUGUCACCUUAGAAUAUCGAUACAAAUAUAAUAUCAAAAAAAUUCACAACUUCUAGUCACUAUCGAAAAAUAUCAAAAUUUUUAAUUCUAUGGAUCCGAAAAAUAUUCCCAAAUCGCACCAUUCACCUUAGAAUAUCGAUACGAGUGAAAUAUAAAAACCAAGUAAAAUACAUAAAAACAUCUCAAAAAUAUCCUGAAUCGCACCUGUCACCUUAGAAUAUCGAAACUAAUUUAAUAUCAAAUUUUUUUACUUUUUUUCCUAAAUAUUCGAAAAAUAUAAAAAAAAUUAAUUCGUAACAGUCCGAAAAAUAUAAAAAUCAAGCAAAAUAUAAAUAAACACCUAAAAAUUUGUACGAAUCGCAGUAAUCACCUUAGUAUAUCGAUAUGAAUAAAAUAUCAAAACUCCCCAUUUUUUCGUGAAUGCACGUAAAAUAUCAAAUAAUUAAAUUCGUAAAUGUCUGAAAAAUAUUAGAAUAAAAAAAAAAUACUUAAAUCACCUCAAAAAAUUCACGAAUCGCACUAGUCACAUUAUAAUAUCGAUACGAAUAAAAUAUCAAAAAUUCAAAUUUUCUCGUUAUUGCUGAAAAAUAUCAAAAAUUUUUAAUUCGUAAAACGUCCAAAACAAUAUAAAAAAUCAAGAAAAAGACAUAAAAACAACCACAAAAAAUACCCGAAUCGCACAUGUCACCUUAAAAUAUCGAUACGAAUAAAAUAUCAAAAAUUCAUAUUUUCUCGUCACUUCCGAAAAAUAUCAACAUUUUUAAUUCGAAAACGUUUUAAAAAAAUAUAAUAAUCAAGUAAGAGAAAUAAAAAUACCUCAAAAAAAUCCUGAAUCGCAUUGGUCACCUUAUAAUAUCGAUACGACGAAAUACCAAAUUUUUUGAUUUUCUUGUAACUUCCGAAAAACAUUAAAUUUUCUAAUUUGUAAACAUAUGAAAAUAUAAAAAUCAAGAAAAAAUACAUAAAACCACCUCAAAAAAUCCCGAAUCGCACUUGUCACCUUAGAAUAUCGAUACGAAUAAAAUAUCAAAAAUUUUUAAUUCGUAAAAAUCCGAAAAAAUAUAAUAUAAAAAAAAAAAAGAAUAAAAAAAAACACCUGAAAAAAACCACGAAAUCACACCAUGUCACCUUAGAAUAUCGAUACGAAUAAAAUAUCAAAAAUUUUAAUUCGUAAACGUCCAAACAAUAUAAAAAUCAAGAAAAAGACAUUAAAACACCUAAAAAAUUCUCAACUCGCACC